UGCAAAGCGAUGAAUGGGACCAGUAAAUGAUGAACGGCAACAAGAGAGUGAAGCCCACAGGCUGAAAGGCUUCAUUGUCCUCUUCAUCAUUGAACCUAUCCCAUGAGCUGUUAGGAAAACCUAACCGUCCAGCCGACGAUACCGGCUAUGAGGUGGGCACAGCUUGUGCCAACAAAGGUGGUACCGCGGAAAAAAAAGCCUUUUCCGUCCUUUAU
Molecule: non-coding RNA, 215 nt
Filed under: Anoxybacillus sp.
Lineage: Bacteria; Bacillati; Bacillota; Bacilli; Caryophanales; Anoxybacillaceae
Description: T-box sequence
Rfam family: T-box leader
About the family: Uncharged tRNA acts as the effector for transcription antitermination of genes in the T-box leader family. T-boxes are found upstream of many aminoacyl-tRNA synthetase genes and some amino acid biosynthetic genes usually in Gram-positive bacteria. The anticodon of a specific tRNA base pairs to a specifier sequence within the T-box motif, and the NCCA acceptor tail of the tRNA base pairs to a conserved bulge in the T-box antiterminator hairpin.
Source: RNAcentral